CCCUUAGAUGGUCUGGGCGGCACGCGCGCUACAAUGAUGCAUUCAAAAAGUCUUCUGACCUUAGAAGGUUGGGUAUUCUCCAAAGUGCAUCGUGAUGGGAAUAGCUUAUUGCAAUUUUUAAUCUUGAACGAGGAAUUCCUAGUAAGUACAGGUCAUCAACUUGUGUUGAUUACGUCCCUGCCCUUUGUACACACCGCCCGUCGCUCCUACUGAUUGAGUGUCUCGGUGAAUUCUUUGAUCUUCUGUCGAUUCAGUUCACUGAUCCGACGGUGGAAAGUUGAAUGAACUUCGUCACUUAGAGGAAGGAGAAGUCGUAACA
This 319-nucleotide ribosomal RNA is filed under the name uncultured eukaryote. RNAcentral describes it as "partial 18S ribosomal RNA". It matches the Rfam family "Eukaryotic small subunit ribosomal RNA", at positions 1470 to 1796 of the family's 1831-position model. The record is from RNAcentral.